UACGAGGGGGGCGAGCGUUGUUCGGAAUUAUUGGGCGUAAAGGGCGCGUAGGCGGUUGGAUAAGUCUUGUGUGAAAUCUCCCGGCUCAACUGGGAGGGUGCGCCGAAUACUGAAUGACUUCGAGUGCGGGAGAGGAGAGUGGAAUUCCUGGUGUAGCGGUGAAAUGCGUAGAUAUCAGGAGGAACACCGGUGGUGUAGACGGCUCUCUGGACCGUAACUGACGCUGAGACACGAAAGCGUGGGUAGCAAACAGG
Molecule: ribosomal RNA, 254 nt
Filed under: uncultured bacterium
Lineage: Bacteria
Description: partial 16S ribosomal RNA
Rfam family: Bacterial small subunit ribosomal RNA
Source: RNAcentral